This 478-nucleotide ribosomal RNA is filed under the name uncultured organism. RNAcentral's name for it is "partial 16S ribosomal RNA". It matches the Rfam family "Bacterial small subunit ribosomal RNA", at positions 331 to 800 of the family's 1533-position model. The record is from RNAcentral.
GUACACUCCUGCGGGAGGCAGCAGUGGGGAAUUUUGGACAAUGGGCGAAAGCCUGAUCCAGCCAUGCCGCGUGCAGGAUGAAGGCCUUCGGGUUGUAAACUGCUUUUGUACGGAACGAAACGGCCUUUUCUAAUAAAGAGGGCUAAUGACGGUACCGUAAGAAUAAGCACCGGCUAACUACGUGCCAGCAGCCGCGGUAAUACGUAGGGUGCAAGCGUUAAUCGGAAUUACUGGGCGUAAAGCGUGCGCAGGCGGUUAUGUAAGACAGUUGUGAAAUCCCCGGGCUCAACCUGGGAACUGCAUCUGUGACUGCAUAGCUAGAGUACGGUAGAGGGGGAUGGAAUUCCGCGUGUAGCAGUGAAAUGCGUAGAUAUGCGGAGGAACACCGAUGGCGAAGGCAAUCCCCUGGACCUGUACUGACGCUCAUGCACGAAAGCGUGGGGAGCAAACAGGAUUAGAAACCCCAGUAGUCCCAUGA